RNAcentral lists this transfer RNA (84 nucleotides) under Clostridia bacterium. RNAcentral's name for it is "tRNA-Leu". It matches the Rfam family "tRNA". Rfam says of the family: Transfer RNA (tRNA) molecules are approximately 80 nucleotides in length. Their secondary structure includes four short double-helical elements and three loops (D, anti-codon, and T loops). Further hydrogen bonds mediate the characteristic L-shaped molecular structure. tRNAs have two regions of fundamental functional importance: the anti-codon, which is responsible for specific mRNA codon recognition, and the 3' end, to which the tRNAs corresponding amino acid is attached (by aminoacyl-tRNA synthetases). tRNAs cope with the degeneracy of the genetic code in two manners: having more than one tRNA (with a specific anti-codon) for a particular amino acid; and 'wobble' base-pairing, i.e. permitting non-standard base-pairing at the 3rd anti-codon position. Lineage: Bacteria; Bacillati; Bacillota; Clostridia. The record is from RNAcentral.
GCCGGUGUGGUGGAAGUGGCAGACGCGUCGGACUCAAAAUCCGAUGGUAGCAAUACCGUGCGGGUUCGACCCCCGCCACCGGCA